GGGUGUAUAGCCCAGUGGUAGAGCGUUCAGCUGCAAAUCGAGAGGUCUCCGCCCAAACUCCGGGUGCGCUCU
Molecule: non-coding RNA, 72 nt
Organism: Trichonephila inaurata madagascariensis
Lineage: Eukaryota; Metazoa; Arthropoda; Arachnida; Araneae; Nephilidae
Source: the annotation of a GenBank genome assembly